RNAcentral lists this ribosomal RNA (496 nucleotides) under uncultured bacterium. Its description in RNAcentral is "partial 16S ribosomal RNA". It matches the Rfam family "Bacterial small subunit ribosomal RNA", at positions 28 to 506 of the family's 1533-position model. The record is from RNAcentral.
GAUGAACGCUGGCGGCGUGCCUAAUACAUGCAAGUCGAGCGAACAGACGAGGAGCUUGCUCCUCUGACGUUAGCGGCGGACGGGUGAGUAACACGUGGAUAACCUACCUAUAAGACUGGGAUAACUUCGGGAAACCGGAGCUAAUACCGGAUAACAUGUUGAACCGCAUGGUUCAACAGUGAAAGACGGUCUUGCUGUCACUUAUAGAUGGAUCCGCGCCGCAUUAGCUAGUUGGUAAGGUAACGGCUUACCAAGGCAACGAUGCGUAGCCGACCUGAGAGGGUGAUCGGCCACACGGGAACUGAGACACGUUCCAACCUCCUAGGGAAGGCAGCAGUGGGAAAUCUUCGGCAUGGGGCGAAAGCCGAACGGAGCAACGCGGGGUGAGUGAAGAAGGUCUUCGAAUCGAAAACCUUUGUUAUUAGGGAAGAACAAAGGGGUAAGUAACUAGGCACGUCUGAACGGUACCGAAUCAGAAAGCCACGGCAAACUACGU